GACGAACGCUGGCGGCGUGCCUAAUACAUGCAAGUUGAGCGAUGAAGAUUGGUGCUUGCACCAAUUUGAAGAGCAGCGAACGGGUGAGUAACGCGUGGGGAAUCUGCCUUUGAGCGGGGGACAACAUUUGGAAACGAAUGCUAAUACCGCAUAACAACUUUAAACAUAAGUUUUAAGUUUGAAAGAUGCAAUUGCAUCACUCAAAGAUGAUCCCGCGUUGUAUUAGCUAGUUGGUGAGGUAAAGGCUCACCAAGGCGAUGAUACAUAGCCGACCUGAGAGGGUGAUCGGCCACAUUGGGACUGAGACACGGCCCAAACUCCUACGGGAGGCAGCAGUAGGGAAUCUUCGGCCAUGGACGAAAGUCUGACCGAGCAACGCCGCGUGAGUGAAGAAGGUUUUCGGAUCGUAAAACUCUGUUGGUAGAGAAGAACGUUGGUGAGAGUGGAAAGCUCAUCAAGUGACGGUAACUACCCAGAAAGGGACGGCUAACUACGUG
RNAcentral lists this ribosomal RNA (497 nucleotides) under uncultured bacterium. RNAcentral's name for it is "partial 16S ribosomal RNA". It matches the Rfam family "Bacterial small subunit ribosomal RNA", at positions 28 to 507 of the family's 1533-position model. The record is from RNAcentral.